Molecule: ribosomal RNA, 305 nt
Filed under: uncultured bacterium
Lineage: Bacteria
Description: bacterial SSU rRNA
Rfam family: Bacterial small subunit ribosomal RNA
Source: RNAcentral
UGCGCCCUACGGGACGCAGCAGUGAGGAAUAUUGGUCAAUGGGCGGAAGCCUGAACCAGCCAAGUCGCGUGAGGGAAGAAGGCCCUGCGGGUCGCAGACCUCUUUGGACGGGGAGCAAGGCCGCCGACGUGUCGGCGGAAGGAGAGUACCCGUAGAACAAGCAUCGGCUAACUCCGUGCCAGCAGCCGCGGUAAUACGGAGGAUGCGAGCGUUAUCCGGAUUUACUGGGUGUAAAGGGGGCACAGACGGCAGCGCAAGCCAGGAGUGAAAGCCCGGGGCCCAACCCCGGGACUGCUCUUGGAACU